Molecule: ribosomal RNA, 735 nt
Filed under: Klebsiella aerogenes
Lineage: Bacteria; Pseudomonadati; Pseudomonadota; Gammaproteobacteria; Enterobacterales; Enterobacteriaceae
Description: bacterial SSU rRNA
Rfam family: Bacterial small subunit ribosomal RNA
Source: RNAcentral
UUUGAUCCUGGCUCAGAUUGAACGCUGGCGGCAGGCCUAACACAUGCAAGUCGAGCGGUAACAGGGAGUAGCUUGCUACUCCGCUGACGAGCGGCGGACGGGUGAGUAAUGUCUGGGAAACUGCCUGAUGGAGGGGGAUAACUACUGGAAACGGUAGCUAAUACCGCAUAACGUCUUCGGACCAAAGUGGGGGACCUUCGGGCCUCAUGCCAUCAGAUGUGCCCAGAUGGGAUUAGCUAGUAGGUGGGGUAACGGCUCACCUAGGCGACGAUCCCUAGCUGGUCUGAGAGGAUGACCAGCCACACUGGAACUGAGACACGGUCCAGACUCCUACGGGAGGCAGCAGUGGGGAAUAUUGCACAAUGGGCGCAAGCCUGAUGCAGCCAUGCCGCGUGUAUGAAGAAGGCCUUCGGGUUGUAAAGUACUUUCAGCGAGGAGGAAGGCAUUAAGGUUAAUAACCUUAGUGAUUGACGUUACUCGCAGAAGAAGCACCGGCUAACUCCGUGCCAGCAGCCGCGGUAAUACGGAGGGUGCAAGCGUUAAUCGGAAUUACUGGGCGUAAAGCGCACGCAGGCGGUCUGUCAAGUCGGAUGUGAAAUCCCCGGGCUCAACCUGGGAACUGCAUUCGAAACUGGCAGGCUAGAGUCUUGUAGAGGGGGGUAGAAUUCCAGGUGUAGCGGUGAAAUGCGUAGAGAUCUGGAGGAAUACCGGUGGCGAAGGCGGCCCCNNGACAAA